ACGAAGGGUGCUAGCGUUGUUCGGAAUUACUGGGCGUAAAGGGCGCGUAGGCGGCCAUAUAAGUCAGAUGUGAAAGCCCCGGGCUUAACCUGGGAACCGCAUUUGAUACUGUAAGGCUAGAGAUCGAAAGGGGAAAGUGGAAUGAUGAGUGUAGAGGUGAAAUUCGUAGAUAUUCAGUGGAACACCGGUGGCGAAGGCGACUUUCUGGUUCGAUACUGACGCUAAGGCGCGAAAGCGUGGGGAGCAAACAG
Molecule: ribosomal RNA, 251 nt
Filed under: uncultured prokaryote
Description: partial 16S rRNA
Rfam family: Bacterial small subunit ribosomal RNA
Source: RNAcentral